GAUGAACGCUAGCUACAGGCUUAACACAUGCAAGUCGAGGGGAAACGACAUCGAAAGCUUGCUUUUGAUGGGCGUCGACCGGCGCACGGGUGAGUAACGCGUAUCCAACCUGCCCACCACUUGGGGAUAACCUUGCGAAAGUAAGACUAAUACCCAAUGAUAUCUCUAGAAGACAUCUGAAAGAGAUUAAAGAUUUAUCGGUGAUGGAUGGGGAUGCGUCUGAUUAGCUUGUUGGCGGGGUAACGGCCCACCAAGGCAACGAUCAGUAGGGGUUCUGAGAGGAAGGUCCCCCACAUUGGAACUGAGACACGGUCCAAACUCCUACGGGAGGCAGCAGUGAGGAAUAUUGGUCAAUGGACGAGAGUCUGAACCAGCCAAGUAGCGAGCAGGAAGACGGCCCUAUGGGUUGUAAACUGCUUUUAUAAGGGAAUAAAGUGAGUCACGUGAGACUUUUGGCAUGAACCUUAGGAAGAAGGACCGGCUAAUUCCGU
RNAcentral lists this ribosomal RNA (491 nucleotides) under uncultured bacterium. Its description in RNAcentral is "partial 16S ribosomal RNA". It matches the Rfam family "Bacterial small subunit ribosomal RNA", at positions 28 to 506 of the family's 1533-position model. The record is from RNAcentral.